UGGGGAAUAUUGCACAAUGGGCGCAAGCCUGAUGCAGCCAUGCCGCGUGUAUGAAGAAGGCCUUCGGGUUGUAAAGUACUUUCAGUCGGGAGGAAGGUGGUAAGGUUAAUAACCUUAUCAAUUGACGUUACCGACAGAAGAAGCACCGGCUAACUCCGUGCCAGCAGCCGCGGUAAUACGGAGGGUGCAAGCGUUAAUCGGAAUUACUGGGCGUAAAGCGCACGCAGGCGGUUUGUUAAGUCAGAUGUGAGAUCCCCGGGCUCAACCUGGGAACUGCAUCUGAUACUGGCAAGCUUGAGUCUCGUAGAGGGGGGUAGAAUUCCAGGUGUAGCGGUGAAAUGCGUAGAGAUCUGGAGGAAUACCGGUGGCGAAGGCGGCCCCCUGGACGAAGACUGACGCUCAGGUGCGAAAGCGUGGGGAGCAAACAGG
Molecule: ribosomal RNA, 429 nt
Filed under: Chloroflexota bacterium
Lineage: Bacteria; Bacillati; Chloroflexota
Description: Chloroflexi bacterium partial 16S ribosomal RNA
Rfam family: Bacterial small subunit ribosomal RNA
Source: RNAcentral